GCUACCUACGGGGCAGCGGCCGCGGUAACAGGGAGGGCGUAGGCUGGGGCCGGAAUGAUGGGGCGGAAAGGGCUCGUAGGCGGGCUGGUGGGUCCGCGGUGAAAACUCGGGGCGUAACCCCGAGCCUGCAGGGGAGACGGGCAGACUAGAGGUAGGUAGGGGAGAAUGGAAUUCCCUGUGUAGCGGUGAAAUGCGCAGAUAUCGGGAGGAACACCGGUGGCGAAGGCGGUUCUCUGGGCCUUACCUGACGCUGAGGAGCGAAAGCGUGGGGAGCGAACAGGAUUAGAUACCCCUGUAGUC
Molecule: ribosomal RNA, 300 nt
Filed under: uncultured Ignicoccus sp.
Lineage: Archaea; Thermoproteati; Thermoproteota; Thermoprotei; Desulfurococcales; Desulfurococcaceae
Description: bacterial SSU rRNA
Rfam family: Bacterial small subunit ribosomal RNA
Source: RNAcentral